ACGCUGGCGGCGUGCCUAAUACAUGCAAGUAGAACGCUGAAGAGAGGAGCUUGCUCUUCUUGAAUGAGUUGCGAACGGGUGAGUAACGCGUAGGUAAGCUGCCUUGUAGCGGGGGAUAACUAUUGGAAACGAUAGCUAAUACCGCACAACAAUGGGUGACACAUGUCAUUUAUUUGAAAGGGGCAAUUGCUCCACUACAAGAUGGACCUGCGUUGUAUUAGCUAGUAGGUGAGGUAACGGCUCACCUAGGCGACGAUACAUAGCCGACCUGAGAGGGUGAUCGGCCACACUGGGACUGAGACACGGCCCAGACUCCUACGGGAGGCAGCAGUAGGGAAUCUUCGGCAAUGGGGGCAACCCUGACCGAGCAACGCCGCGUGAGUGAAGAAGGUUUUCGGAUCGUAAAGCUCUGUUGUAAGUCAAGAACGAGUGUGGGAGUGGAAAGUUCACACUGUGACGGUAGCUUACCAGAAAGGGACGGCUAACUACGUGCCAGCAGCCGCGGUAAUACGUAGGUCCCGAGCGUUGUCCGGAUUUAUUGGGCGUAAAGCGAGCGCAGGCGGUUUGAUAAGUCUGAAGUUAAAGGCUGUGGCUCAACCAUAGUUCGCUUUGGAAACUGUCAAACUUGAGUGCAGAAGGGGAGAGUGGAAUUCCAUGUGUAGCGGUGAAAUGCGUAGAUAUAUGGAGGAACACCGGUGGCGAAAGCGGCUCUCUGGUCUGUAACUGACGCUGAGGCUCGAAAGCGUGGGGAGCGAACAGGAUUAGAUACCCUGGUAGUCCACGCCGUAAACGAUGAGUGCUAGGCGUUGGAUCCUUUCCGGGAUUCAGUGCCGCAGCUAACGCAUUAAGCACUCCGCCUGGGGAGUACGACCGCAAGGUUGAAACUCAAAGGAAUUGACGGGGGCCCGCAC
Molecule: ribosomal RNA, 911 nt
Filed under: uncultured bacterium
Lineage: Bacteria
Description: bacterial SSU rRNA
Rfam family: Bacterial small subunit ribosomal RNA
Source: RNAcentral